Molecule: ribosomal RNA, 483 nt
Filed under: uncultured bacterium
Lineage: Bacteria
Description: bacterial SSU rRNA
Rfam family: Bacterial small subunit ribosomal RNA
Source: RNAcentral
AUUGAACGCUGGCGGCAUGCCUUACACAUGCAAGUCGAACGGUAACAGGUCUUCGGACGCUGACGAGUGGCGAACGGGUGAGUAAUACAUCGGAACGUGCCCAGUCGUGGGGGAUAACUACUCGAAAGAGUAGCUAAUACCGCAUACGAUCUGAGGAUGAAAGCGGGGGACCUUCGGGCCUCGCGCGAUUGGAGCGGCCGAUGGCAGAUUAGGUAGUUGGUGGGAUAAAAGCUUACCAAGCCGACGAUCUGUAGCUGGUCUGAGAGGACGACCAGCCACACUGGGACUGAGACACGGCCCAGACUCCUACGGGAGGCAGCAGUGGGGAAUUUUGGACAAUGGGCGAAAGCCUGAUCCAGCAAUGCCGCGUGCAGGAUGAAGGCCUUCGGGUUGUAAACUGCUUUUGUACGGAACGAAAAAGCUCCUUCUAAUACAGGGGGCCCAUGACGGUACCGUAAGAAUAAGCACCGGCUAACUACGUGC